CUACGGGAGGCAGCAGUGGGGAAUAUUGGACAAUGGGCGCAAGCCUGAUCCAGCAAUGCCGCGUGAGUGAAGAAGGUCUUCGGAUUGUAAAGCUCUUUUGGCGGGGACGAUGAUGACGGUACCCGCAGAAUAAGCCCCGGCUAACUUCGUGCCAGCAGCCGCGGUAAUACGAAGGGGGCUAGCGUUGCUCGGAAUGACUGGGCGUAAAGGGCGCGUAGGCGGAUUGUACAGUCAGACGUGAAAUUCCUGGGCUCAACCUGGGGGCUGCGUUUGAUACGUAUAGUCUUGAGUGAGGAAGAGGGUCGUGGAAUUCCCAGUGUAGAGGUGAAAUUCGUAGAUAUUGGGAAGAACACCGGUGGCGAAGGCGGCGACCUGGUCCUUUACUGACGCUGAGGCGCGAAAGCGUGGGGAGCAAACAGGAUUAGAAACCCUAGUAGUCC
Molecule: ribosomal RNA, 440 nt
Filed under: uncultured bacterium
Lineage: Bacteria
Description: bacterial SSU rRNA
Rfam family: Bacterial small subunit ribosomal RNA
Source: RNAcentral